This 464-nucleotide ribosomal RNA is filed under the name Centipeda dianae. RNAcentral describes it as "bacterial SSU rRNA". It matches the Rfam family "Bacterial small subunit ribosomal RNA", at positions 28 to 467 of the family's 1533-position model. The record is from RNAcentral. Lineage: Bacteria; Bacillati; Bacillota; Negativicutes; Selenomonadales; Selenomonadaceae.
GACGAACGCUGGCGGCGUGCUUAACACAUGCAAGUCGAACGGGAUGAUCUUAAAGCUUGCUUUUAGAGAAUCUAGUGGCAAACGGGUGAGUAACACGUAGACAACCUGCCGACAGGAUGGGGACAACAUUCCGAAAGGAAUGCUAAUACCGAAUGAAGCGGAGGAGAGGCAUCUCUCUUCCGUGAAAGAUGGCCUCUUUUUAUGCUAUCACCUGUCGAUGGGUCUGCGUCUGAUUAGCUGGUUGGUGAGGUAACGGCUCACCAAGGCGACGAUCAGUAGCCGGUCUGAGAGGAUGAACGGCCACAUUGGGACUGAGACACGGCCCAGACUCCUACGGGAGGCAGCAGUGGGGAAUCUUCCGCAAUGGGCGCAAGCCUGACGGAGCAACGCCGCGUGAGUGAAGAAGGUCUUCGGAUCGUAAAGCUCUGUUGACGGGGACGAACGUGCGAGAGGUGAAUAAACUC